CCUACGGGAGGCAGCAGUGAGGAAUAUUGGUCAAUGGCCGAGAGGCUGAACCAGCCAAGUCGCGUGAGGGAAGACGGCCCUACGGGUUGUAAACCUCUUUUGUCGGGGAGCAAAGCGAACCACGUGGGGUUCAUUGAGAGUACCCGAAGAAAAAGCAUCGGCCAACUCCGUGCCAGCAGCCGCGGUAAUACGGAGGAUGCGAGCGUUAUCCGGAUUGAUUGGGUUUAAAGGGUGGGCGGGCGGGGGUGCAAGUCAGCGGGCAAAUUGCGGGGCUCAACCCCGUACUGCCGUUGAAACUGCAUCCGUUGGAAGCGCGAGAAGGAUGCAGAAUGCGUGGUGUAGCGGUGAAAU
Molecule: ribosomal RNA, 351 nt
Filed under: uncultured bacterium
Lineage: Bacteria
Description: partial 16S ribosomal RNA
Rfam family: Bacterial small subunit ribosomal RNA
Source: RNAcentral